UACGGAGGGUGCAAGCGUUAUCCGGAUUCACUGGGUUUAAAGGGUGCGUAGGAGGGCAGGUAAGUCAGUGGUGAAAUCUCCAAGCUUAACUUGGAAACUGCCGUUGAUACUAUCUGUCUUGAAUAUUGUGGAGGUGAGCGGAAUAUGUCAUGUAGCGGUGAAAUGCUUAGAUAUGACAUAGAACACCAAUUGCGAGGGCAGCUCACUACUCAAUCAUUGACUCUGAGGCACGAAAGCGUGGGGAUCAAACAGG
RNAcentral lists this ribosomal RNA (253 nucleotides) under uncultured bacterium. RNAcentral describes it as "partial 16S ribosomal RNA". It matches the Rfam family "Bacterial small subunit ribosomal RNA", at positions 524 to 776 of the family's 1533-position model. The record is from RNAcentral.